GACGAACGCUGGCGGCGUGCUUAACACAUGCAAGUCGAACGGAAAGGCCCUGCUUUUGCGGGGUGCUCGAGUGGCGAACGGGUGAGUAACACGUGAGUAACCUGUCCUUGACUUUGGGAUAACUUCAGGAAACUGGGGCUAAUACCGCAGAGGAGCUCCUGCUGCAUGGUGGGGGUUGGAAAGUUUCGGCGGUUGGGGAUGGACUAGCGGCUUAUCAGCUUGUUGGUGGGGUAGUGGCUUACCAAGGCUUUGACGGGUAGCCGGCCUGAGAGGGUGACCGGCCACAUGGGGACUGAGAGACGGCCCAGACUCCUACGGUAGGCAGCAGGGGGGAAUAUUGCACAAUGGGCGGGAGCCUGAUGCAGCAACGCCGCGUGCGGGAUGACGGCCUUCGGGUUGUAAACCGCUUUCUCCUGUGACGAAGCGGGAGUGACGGUAAUGGGUAAAGAAGCACCGGCUAACUACGUG
This 468-nucleotide ribosomal RNA is filed under the name uncultured bacterium. Its description in RNAcentral is "partial 16S ribosomal RNA". It matches the Rfam family "Bacterial small subunit ribosomal RNA", at positions 28 to 507 of the family's 1533-position model. The record is from RNAcentral.